CUGAAUAGAAGCUAAGACAGAAAGGGAAUUCAAAGAAGCAAUCCAACUUCGUCGCAGACGGGCAGGCUGUAGACCCGGCCACCGGUAGAUCGUACGUGUACAACAGUAAGACCGGGCAGCGGAAGUGGGCAGACACGGCUACAGCAGUGGUGGCCGCCAACAGACUGAGGAACACGAGGAGAACGAGCCCGAGAGAGGCACCCCAGGACCCCAACCCUGCUACCAAAAAUGCCUCA
Molecule: long non-coding RNA, 236 nt
Organism: Branchiostoma floridae (Florida lancelet)
Lineage: Eukaryota; Metazoa; Chordata; Leptocardii; Amphioxiformes; Branchiostomatidae
Exons: 3
Source: RefSeq, a predicted model, not a curated record